Molecule: transfer RNA, 75 nt
Filed under: Cordylochernes scorpioides
Lineage: Eukaryota; Metazoa; Arthropoda; Arachnida; Pseudoscorpiones; Chernetidae
Description: tRNA-Thr
Rfam family: tRNA
About the family: Transfer RNA (tRNA) molecules are approximately 80 nucleotides in length. Their secondary structure includes four short double-helical elements and three loops (D, anti-codon, and T loops).
Source: RNAcentral
GUCUAGGGUAGCCUAGUGGACAUGGCAUCUGCCCGGUAAGCGGAAGACUGUGGGUUCGAUUCCCAUCCCUGGACA